RNAcentral lists this unclassified non-coding RNA (240 nucleotides) under soil metagenome. RNAcentral's name for it is "partial contains 5.8S ribosomal RNA, internal transcribed spacer 2, and large subunit ribosomal RNA". The record is from RNAcentral.
AACGAGGCCGACCUGCGGCUGAGUUACCUGCGGAAGGAUCAUUAAAAAUAGUGGUAUACCCCCUUUUAAAAGUGUGGGUUACCUCCCGUCCUUUGUUGGUCCCUUAGGGGACUUUUUUGAACUUUUCUGCUUCGGCGGGUUAAACCUGCCGGAACACCCUCCAAAAAUUCUGAUCAUUUAAAACUGUUCAGUCCGAGUAUGAGAAAAAACAAAAAACUUUUAGCAAUGGAUCUCAGAUCG